RNAcentral lists this long non-coding RNA (592 nucleotides) under Zonotrichia albicollis (white-throated sparrow). Its description in RNAcentral is "lncRNA (ENSZALG00000000769.1)". Lineage: Eukaryota; Metazoa; Chordata; Aves; Passeriformes; Passerellidae. The record is from RNAcentral.
AUCAUUGUUGUUUAUUUUACAAGUUAUUAAACCCUUGUUUUAUUUGUAUUCAGUACAGAAAACUGAGACUUAAAAGUUUGGAAGCCUGGAAAGAAAAGGAGGGGCCUGAUAAAAUACAGGCAAGAAAGAGAAGAAAGGAAGUGAAAUAGAGAGGAAUACACUAAGAAGGACGCUCAAAGUGAUUGAGGCUGGAACUGUGAUGUUUCCAAUAAUUUUAAAUAUCUGACCUGAGACGAACUGGAUCUGAAUUUUUAGGCAUGCCAUGUCCUGCUAAUGAGCUUUCAGCUACAUCUGGUUUUCUGGGCAGGAAUCAAAGCCUGGAGAGUCUUAGACCUGGAGACCAGAGCUGCAGGCAGACUUGGCAAGCUCCUGACAUCCAUCUCAGCUCCAUGUUCAGCUGGCAGCAAUGGAAAAGCCAGAGAGCUUGUCAAAUCUACAUUGGUGACAUAUUGUCUCUGCUGGACUCAGUGCUGGGCAAGAACAGAUGUAAAUGAAACUCCUCUCUGACAUCCACUUCUUUCCCUGCAUUAUCAGUUUUGGAUAGACUUAAAGGCAAAAGAUGCAGAGCCAGCUCCAAAAGGUAGGUGUCUGC